CGGUGUUCAACUGGCGUGUCCGCGGGACGUCCUGCCGGUGGGCUUAGCCCGCAAGGGCGGCCCAACUUCAAAUCCCAUCGCGGUGCUUUUCACUGAGUGUCGAGGUGGGCCGGCACGUUUACUUUGAACAAAUUGGAGUGCUUAAAGCAGGCUAAAACUUCGCCUGAAUACUGUGUGCAUGGAAUAAUGGAAUAGGAUCUCGGUUCUAUUUUGUUGGUUUUCGGAACCCCGAGGUAAUGAUUAAUAGGAACGGAUGGGGGCAUUCGUAUUGCGACGUUAGAGGUGAAAUUCUUGGAUCGUCGCAAGACGGACAGAAGCGAAAGCAUUUGCCAAAAACGCUUUCAAUGAUCAAGAACGAAAGUUAGAGGAUCGAAGGCGAUCAGAUACCGCCCUAUUUCUAACCAUAAACGAUGCCAGCUAGCGAUCCGUCGACGUUCCUCCGAUGACUCGACGGGCAGCUUCCGGGAAACCAAAGCUUUUGGGUUCCGGGGAAAGUAUGGUUGCAAAGCUGAAACUUAAAGGAAUUGACGGAAGGGCACCACCAGGAGUGGAGCCUGCGGCUUAAUUUGACUCAACACGGGAAACCUCACCAGGCCCGGACACCGGGAAGGAUUGACAGAUUGAGAGCUCUUUCUUGAUUCGGUGGGUGGUGGUGCAUGGCCCGUUCUUAGUUGGUGGAGCGAUUUGUCUGGUUAAUUCCGAUAACGAACAAGACUCUAGCCUGCUAACUAGGCGUAUUUUCGACAUCUCAAAGGUCCGUCGUCCCGGCCCUCGGGUCGUGGGCGUGCGCGAUUUUUACUGUCGGCGUACUAUCAAUUCUUCUUAGAGGGACAGGUGGCUUCUAGCCGCACGAGAUUGAGCAAUAACAGGUCUGUGAUG
This 879-nucleotide ribosomal RNA is filed under the name uncultured eukaryote. RNAcentral describes it as "SSU rRNA". It matches the Rfam family "Eukaryotic small subunit ribosomal RNA", at positions 636 to 1469 of the family's 1831-position model. The record is from RNAcentral.